RNAcentral lists this small nuclear RNA (348 nucleotides) under Piliocolobus tephrosceles (Ugandan red Colobus). RNAcentral's name for it is "7SK RNA (ENSPTEG00000004441.1)". It matches the Rfam family "7SK RNA". From Rfam's summary of the family: 7SK was discovered as an abundant small nuclear RNA in the mid-70s but a possible function has only recently been suggested. Two independent studies have found that 7SK RNA binds the CDK9/cyclin T complex (known as elongation factor P-TEFb). The record is from RNAcentral. Lineage: Eukaryota; Metazoa; Chordata; Mammalia; Primates; Cercopithecidae.
GGAUAUGAGAGCGAUCUGGCUGAGACGUCUGUUACCCUAUUGAUUGCCAGCGUUGAUUGGGCGACCUGGCUAGCUAGGCAUGUGUGCUCUUCUUCCCUCACCGCUUUAUGUGUGUCCCUCAGUAAGUGCGCACUCCGUUGAAGAGGACGUCCAUCCCCCAGAGAAGAGGACCAGUCUUCGAUCAAAGGUAUAGGAGUAGCUGCGCUCCCCUGCUAGACUCUCCAAACAUGCUAUUUUUCUUUUUCUUUUUCUUUUUUUUUUGAGAUGGAGUCUCAUUCUGUCCCUAGUCUGGAGUGCAAUAGCAUAAUCUCAACUCACUGCAACCUCUGCCUCCUGGGUUCAAGCGAU